AACUGAACCACCCAGGUGUCCCUUGAAGCAACUUGUUAAGGCUUAUGGGGACUGUGGUUUCCAUGAGGAGGGCACUCAGCCUCAUGUCACCAAUAGAUUGCUAUAGUGUACUGGGGACUAACACUUGGACUUUUGCCAGCGACAUUUUCUAAAAGGGAGAUAGUCUGGAAGAAGUUGGCAUCAGUGUGAUGGGAUCAGUUGAGAAGGGAGGUAACAGUUGAGCAGCCCCGACUGACUUUGCCAUUGCUGGCAUAGACAAUCGCUCACAUCCCAGCAUAGUCUGUUGGAGGAAAUACCCAAUACUCCUGGUUGGGAAGAACC
Mustela erminea (ermine) is the source of this 321-nucleotide long non-coding RNA. RefSeq lists it as uncharacterized. The record is from RefSeq and is a predicted model, not a curated record. The transcript is spliced from 4 exons. NCBI's taxonomy places the organism in Eukaryota, Metazoa, Chordata, Mammalia, Carnivora, Mustelidae.